Molecule: ribosomal RNA, 839 nt
Filed under: uncultured bacterium
Lineage: Bacteria
Description: bacterial SSU rRNA
Rfam family: Bacterial small subunit ribosomal RNA
Source: RNAcentral
UGAGUGCAGAAGAGGAGAGUGGAACUCCAUGUGUAGCGGUGGAAUGCGUAGAUAUAUGGAAGAACACCAGUGGCGAAGGCGGCUCUCUGGUCUGCAACUGACGCUGAGGCUCGAAAGCAUGGGUAGCGAACAGGAUUAGAUACCCUGGUAGUCCAUGCCGUAAACGAUGAGUGCUAAGUGUUGGGAGGUUUCCGCCUCUCAGUGCUGCAGCUAACGCAUUAAGCACUCCGCCUGGGGAGUACGACCGCAAGGUUGAAACUCAAAGGAAUUGACGGGGGCCCGCACAAGCGGUGGAGCAUGUGGUUUAAUUCGAAGCUACGCGAAGAACCUUACCAGGUCUUGACAUCUUGCGCUAACCUAAGAGAUUAGGCGUUCCCUUCGGGGACGCAAUGACAGGUGGUGCAUGGUCGUCGUCAGCUCGUGCCGUGAGAUGUUGGGUUAAGUCCCGCAACGAGCGCAACCCUUGUUACUAGUUGCCAGCAUUUAGUUGGGCACUCUAGUGAGACUGCCGGUGACAAACCGGAGGAAGGUGGGGACGACGUCAGAUCAUCAUGCCCCUUAUGACCUGGGCUACACACGUGCUACAAUGGACGGUACAACGAGUUGCGAACUCGCGAGAGUAAGCUAAUCUCUUAAAGCCGUUCUCAGUUCGGACUGUAGGCUGCAACUCGCCUACACGAAGUCGGAAUCGCUAGUAAUCGCGGAUCAGCAUGCCGCGGUGAAUACGUUCCCGGGCCUUGUACACACCGCCCGUCACACCAUGGAAGUUUGCAAUGCCCAAAGUCGGUGGCCUAACCAUUUGGAGGGAACCGCCUAAGGCAGGGCAGAUGACUGGGGUG